UACGUAGGUGGCGAGCGUUGUCCGGAUUUACUGGGCGUAAAGAGCGCGCAGGCGGUCGUACAAGUCGCGUGUGAAAGCCCCCGGCUCAACUGGGGAGGGUCACGCGAUACUGUUCGACUCGAAGGCAGGAGAGGGAAGUGGAAUUCCCGGUGUAGUGGUGAAAUGCGCAGAUAUCGGGAGGAACACCAGUAGCGAAGGCGGCUCGCUGGGCCAUACCUGACGCUGAGACGCGAAAGCGUGGGGAGCAAACAGG
RNAcentral lists this ribosomal RNA (253 nucleotides) under uncultured bacterium. RNAcentral describes it as "partial 16S ribosomal RNA". It matches the Rfam family "Bacterial small subunit ribosomal RNA", at positions 524 to 776 of the family's 1533-position model. The record is from RNAcentral.